ACUAGCCACUUGUGUAUGGGAUACUAAUACAAGGAUAUGGGUACUCAUUUGAAAAAUGAGUCCACUGAAUUGACUCGAUGAAAGAGAACAUCUUAUGAAAGCCUUACUUGCAUGUAAAAGAUGGUUCUCUAAGUGGGAGUUGUGCAAGUGAUCCUUAGACCUGAGACCAUCAUAGAAUCCUGUACACAUGAAUCCAUAUUUUGGUUCAUACUCAGGCAUAGUAUUAAGACAUGUAUGGGG
Molecule: long non-coding RNA, 240 nt
Filed under: Elaeis guineensis (African oil palm)
Lineage: Eukaryota; Viridiplantae; Streptophyta; Magnoliopsida; Arecales; Arecaceae
Description: long non-coding RNA (EGUI_LNC052563)
Source: RNAcentral